ACGAACGCUGGCGGCAUGCCUAACACAUGCAAGUCGAACGAGACCUUCGGGUCUAGUGGCGCACGGGUGCGUAACGCGUGGGAAUCUGCCCUUGGGUUCGGAAUAACAGUUGGAAACGACUGCUAAUACCGGAUGAUGACGUAAGUCCAAAGAUUUAUCGCCCAAGGAUGAGCCCGCGUAGGAUUAGCUAGUUGGUGAGGUAAAGGCUCACCAAGGCGACGAUCCUUAGCUGGUCUGAGAGGAUGAUCAGCCACACUGGGACUGAGACACGGCCCAGACUCCUACGGGAGGCAGCAGUGGGGAAUAUUGGACAAUGGGCGAAAGCCUGAUCCAGCAAUGCCGCGUGAGUGAUGAAGGCCUUAGGGUUGUAAAGCUCUUUUACCCGGGAUGAUAAUGAUAGUACCGGGAGAAUAAGCUCCGGCUAACUCCGUG
This 432-nucleotide ribosomal RNA is filed under the name uncultured bacterium. RNAcentral's name for it is "partial 16S ribosomal RNA". It matches the Rfam family "Bacterial small subunit ribosomal RNA", at positions 29 to 507 of the family's 1533-position model. The record is from RNAcentral.